This 253-nucleotide ribosomal RNA is filed under the name uncultured bacterium. RNAcentral's name for it is "partial 16S ribosomal RNA". It matches the Rfam family "Bacterial small subunit ribosomal RNA", at positions 524 to 776 of the family's 1533-position model. The record is from RNAcentral.
UACGUAGGGGGCAAGCGUUGUCCGGAUUUAUUGGGCGUAAAGAGCGUGUAGGCGGCCUGGUAGGUCAGUUGUGAAAACUCGAGGCUCAACCUCGAGACGCCGAUUGAAACCACCAGGCUAGAGUCCGGAAGAGGAGAGUGGAAUUCCCGGUGUAGCGGUGAAAUGCGCAGAUAUCGGGAAGAACACCCGUGGCUAAGGCGGCUCUCUGGGACGGUACUGACGCUGAGACGCGAAAGCGUGGGGAGCGAACAGG